AUUGGCCACUGGAACCCGGUCAUAUUCGUGUUUUACAUCUGAGCCAUAAAAACCAGCAAAUUACCUGUUGGGUUGUUUUAGCAAGGAUUCUUGCUUGCUGAUGACAUUUCCCCUGGUGAUAUGCACCAAUUGGAAUUCUCCAGGGUGAUUGCUAUUAUCACAUCAUCAGUAGUUUAUCUUGGGAGCAUUGGGGCUUUGCUGUUUGAAUAACCAAGCCCGGGAGCCUGUGCCAUGGGGGGAAAUGUUUAGUCUGAUGAAGAGAACCCCGUGAGUCCAGCAUCUUCUCGAGACCACGGCUUCUGGCCAGAGCUUAUUUAAGAAAGCAGAAGUAAAAAGGACUCAUCCAUCAGCUGAUGAAUGUCUACCAUUUAACUAAGAGUUCCUGCCCAACUGGCCUAGCUCUCAGCCUGGACCAGUGGUGUCUGGGUGAAGGCAAAGACGGAGGACCUGUCCUGCGGUCACGAGUACCAAAGGCAUUGGAUCUACACCCCCAAGGCCAGGAAUCUGCCCCAAGGGCCUCUCAGGAAGGAGCUGUGUCCAGAGGGUAGUAUAGCCACUGUUGCGGUGGUGGCGGGGAGGGGACCAGAAGAAUUUUCAGAAGACUGACCCAGUACAGCAGAGCCAGGAGAACCAGAAAGAAGUGGUCUCAGGGACCUGAGGACAAUGGGGACCCCUGGAACAAACCAUGCCUGAAGCUGGCAAGACUCUCUUUGAACUUUUUAAUAAUUGGUUCAUUCAAUGAUGUUACCUUAGACCAAGCUAAGUGCUCUAUCAUUUAC
This 779-nucleotide long non-coding RNA is filed under the name Felis catus (domestic cat). RNAcentral's name for it is "lncRNA (ENSFCAG00000047906.1)". Lineage: Eukaryota; Metazoa; Chordata; Mammalia; Carnivora; Felidae. The record is from RNAcentral.